Non-coding RNA from Cinara cedri, 376 nucleotides. The record is from the annotation of a GenBank genome assembly. Lineage: Eukaryota; Metazoa; Arthropoda; Insecta; Hemiptera; Aphididae.
AGACGAUAGAUGAUAUAUAAUAAUCGUUAACUCUUUUUAUUAUUAUUAUUAUUUAAAAUAAUAUCACAGUGAAUUACAAAGUAUCAUUAUUUAAUUUACCUCGAUACGCAAUGCUUGUGCCGAGGUAAACGGGUUGGCCGUACAACUUAACUUAAUUACAAUAUUUACGGUAGAAAAAAAACAACAGUAAUAAAUGUACUCAUCUCAGAUUUAGGUAUCCGACCGCAGUUCGAGUAGCGACCAGUUGACAAUAGUGUUUUUUUCCCCUAAAUUCACGGUUAUUAACGUUAACAGUGUUGUAAAUACAUUUUUUUCAGAUCCAGUGGCAUAGCGUUCGAGUUCUCCGGACCUAAACAAUCUACAUACUUGUUUCCUA